Molecule: ribosomal RNA, 253 nt
Filed under: uncultured bacterium
Lineage: Bacteria
Description: partial 16S ribosomal RNA
Rfam family: Bacterial small subunit ribosomal RNA
Source: RNAcentral
UACGUAGGGAGCGAGCGUUGUCCGGAAUCACUGGGCGUAAAGGGUGCGUAGGCGGUUAUUUAAGUCAGAUGUGAAAUACCCGGGCUUAACCUGGGGGCUGCAUCUGAUACUGGAUGACUUGAGUACAGGAGAGGAAAGUGGAAUUCCUAGUGUAGCGGUGAAAUGCAUAGAUAUUAGGAGGAACACCAGUGGCGAAGGCGGCUUUCUGGACUGUAACUGACGCUGAGGCACGAAAGCGUGGGGAGCAAACAGG